ACCUUGGGUUUUGGGAUAGGCCCAAUGUGGGAUUAGCUUGUUGUUGAGGUAACGGCUCACCAAGGCGACGAUCGGUAGCUGGUCUGAGAGGAUGAUCAGCCACAUGGGGAUUGAGACACGGCCCAGACUCUUACGGGAGGCAGCAGUGGGGAAUAUUGGACAAUGGGCGAAAGCUUGAUCCAGCCAUGCCGCGUGUGUGAAGAAGGCUUUCGGGUUGUAAAGCACUUUCAGCGAGGAAGAACGCUUCGGGAUUAAUACUCCCGAGGAAAGACAUCACUCGCAGAAGAAGCACCGGCUAACUCCGUGCCAGCAGCCGCGGUAAUACGGAGGGUGCAAGCGUUAAUCGGAAUUACUGGGCGUAAAGCGCGCGUAGGUGGCUAAGUCAGCCAGGUGUGAAAGCCCCGGGCUCAACCUGGGAACGGCAUCUGGAACUGCUUGGCUAGAGUGCAGGAGAGGAAGGUAGAAUUCCCGGUGUAGCGGUGAAAUGCGUAGAGAUCGGGAGGAAUACCAGUGGCGAAGGCGGCCUUCUGGACUGACACUGACACUGAGGUGCGAAAGCGUGGGUAGCAAACAGGAUUAGAUACCCUGGUAGUCCACGCCGUAAACGAUGUCAACUAGCCGUUGGGUCCCUUGAGGACUUAGUGGCGCAGCUAACGCAAUAAGUUGACCGCCUGGGGAGUACGGCCGCAAGGUUAAAACUCAAAUGAAUUGACGGGGGCCCGCACAAGCGGUGGAGCAUGUGGUUUAAUUCGAUGCAACGCGAAGAACCUUACCUACCCUUGACAUCCAGAGGACUUUCCAGAGAUGGAUUGGUGCCUUCGGGAACUCUGAGACAGGUGCUGCAUGGCUGUCUC
This 854-nucleotide ribosomal RNA is filed under the name Cobetia sp. NE1Sg. RNAcentral's name for it is "bacterial SSU rRNA". It matches the Rfam family "Bacterial small subunit ribosomal RNA", at positions 210 to 1055 of the family's 1533-position model. Lineage: Bacteria; Pseudomonadati; Pseudomonadota; Gammaproteobacteria; Oceanospirillales; Halomonadaceae. The record is from RNAcentral.